CCUACGGGUGGCAGCAGUAGGGAAUCUUCCACAAUGGGCGAAAGCCUGAUGGAGCAACGCCGCGUGGGUGAAGAAGGUCUUCGGAUCGUAAAACCCUGUUGUUAGAGAGGAAAGUGCGUGAGAGUAACUGUUCACGUUUCGACGGUAUCUAACCAGAAAGCCACGGCUAACUACGUGCCAGCAGCCGCGGUAAUACGUAGGUGGCAAGCGUUAUCCGGUUUUAUUGGGCGUAAAGGGAACGCAGGCGGUCUUUUAAGUCUGAUGUGAAAGCCUUCGGCUUAACCGGAGUAGUGCAUUGGAAACUGGGAGACGUGAGUGCAGAAGAGGAGAGUGGAAGUCCAUGUGUAGCGGUGAAAUGCGUAGAUAUAUGGAAGAACACCAGUGGCGAAGGCGGCUCUCUGGUCUGUAACUGACGCUGAGGUUCGAAAGCGUGGGUAGCAAACAGGAUUAGAUACCCGGGUAGUC
Molecule: ribosomal RNA, 465 nt
Filed under: uncultured bacterium
Lineage: Bacteria
Description: partial 16S ribosomal RNA
Rfam family: Bacterial small subunit ribosomal RNA
Source: RNAcentral